UGAGGAAUAUUGGUCAAUGGGCGAGAGCCUGAACCAGCCAAGUAGCGUGCAGGAUGACGGCCCUAUGGGUUGUAAACUGCUUUUAUAUGGGAAUAAAGUGAGGGACGUGUCCCUUAUUGCAUGUACCAUAUGAAUAAGGACCGGCUAAUCCCGUGCCAGCAGCCGCGGUAAUACGGAAGGUCCAGGCGUUAUCCGGAUUUAUUGGGUUUAAAGGGAGCGUAGGCUGUUUGUUAAGCGUGUUGUGAAAUGUAAGAGCUCAACUUUUAGAUUGCAGCGCGAACUGGCAGACUUGAGUGCGCACAACGUAGGCGGAAUUCAUGGUGUAGCGAUGAAAUGCUUAGAUAUCAUGACGAACUCCGAUUGCGAAGGCAGCUUACGGGAGCGCAACUGACGCUAAAGCUCGAAGGUGCGGGUAUCGAACAGG
This 424-nucleotide ribosomal RNA is filed under the name Verrucomicrobiota bacterium. RNAcentral describes it as "Verrucomicrobia bacterium partial 16S ribosomal RNA". It matches the Rfam family "Bacterial small subunit ribosomal RNA", at positions 355 to 776 of the family's 1533-position model. The record is from RNAcentral. Lineage: Bacteria; Pseudomonadati; Verrucomicrobiota.